Long non-coding RNA from Rosa rugosa (rugosa rose), 437 nucleotides. RefSeq lists it as uncharacterized. The transcript has 3 exons. The record is from RefSeq and is a predicted model, not a curated record. Lineage: Eukaryota; Viridiplantae; Streptophyta; Magnoliopsida; Rosales; Rosaceae.
CAAAAAGGCGGGCGAAGAAUUCUGUGGUUUCUAUUAUUGGCCCUCGUCUACCCUUAUUUUCUUCUCAGACCAGACGUCUGCUUCAAGUUGGUCCGGGUAAAUCAAUUUUACCAAGAAAGAAAAGGAAUAGUUGGGAACAAUGUAUCUCCAUAUUUGGAGAGCAUUUGACUGGAGCACCUUUUCCACGAAAGUAUAACGGCAUUUCUAGCUCUUUUUGCCAAAGCAGAAGCUCUUCAUGGCAAAGUAGAAGUUGUCUUCGCCUCAGGUCGUCCACACCAAGUGCCUUUCCUGACAGAACUUCUUUCUGUUUAUCCAACCGUAAACUUGAGAAGGCUUUUGUGAAGGAUCUGCAUAUUCCAUAUGCAACCGUAGGUCCAGAUGAGCCACAUGCAGCAAGUACAUCUUGGCCAGAUGGUAUUCUUGAGAAACAGGAGCCA